Molecule: ribosomal RNA, 360 nt
Filed under: uncultured marine eukaryote
Lineage: Eukaryota
Description: bacterial SSU rRNA
Rfam family: Eukaryotic small subunit ribosomal RNA
Source: RNAcentral
GUUAAAAAGCUCGUAGUUGGAUUUCUGUUACGAUGAGCCGGCCGGCCCUUCGGGGUUGUAGCUAGGUUUCGUGGUAGCAUCUUGGCGCAAUCGCCGCUGGCAUUCGUUUGUUGGCGUGCGGGACCGCCUCGUUUACUUUGAGAAAAUUUGAGUGUUCAAAGCGGGCUAUCGCCUUGUAAAUAUUAGCAUGGAAUAAUGAUAUAGGACUUUUGGUUCUAUUUUGUUGGUGUUCGAGAACCAAAGUAAUGAUUGAUAGGGGCAGUUGGGGGCAUCAGUAUUCUGAAGCGAGAGGUGAAAUUCUUGGACCUUCGGAAGACUAACAGCUGCGAAAGCGUUUGCCUAGGAUGUUCUCUUUAAUCA